UGGAGGGGAAGAUGAAAAUCCAGCAUCCUCCACUGGAUUCAAAGGUCUCAGCAUCCUGUUCUGGCCAAAGGGAAUGGGCAGAGGGAGGAAACUUGGCCAAAGGAACCUGUGGACCAAUGUGGCUAUGGAACUACUAAGAAUCAGUGGAGUUUCCUUUCACCCCAGAGGUGGCUGACUCCUUCAGGAAUCAUGCACAGAGGACUUUGGAAGCCUUUAUGAGGAAAUUAGCCAGCCAAAGGAAGAGAAGAUAUUAUUAUUAUUUUCCACUGUUUGAUUCAUCUAGCAAUCAUUAGAUGAUUACAGCUCUUGCAGUUUGAUGGAUGGUGGAGUCUGUCUUGUCACUCUCUCUCUGAGUGGCACUGUAGCUGCUCAGUAAUUACUGUGCAGCAGAGAAAGGGG
RNAcentral lists this long non-coding RNA (399 nucleotides) under Monodelphis domestica (gray short-tailed opossum). RNAcentral's name for it is "lncRNA (ENSMODG00000030416.2)". The record is from RNAcentral. Lineage: Eukaryota; Metazoa; Chordata; Mammalia; Didelphimorphia; Didelphidae.